GACGUAGGGAGCGAGCGUUGUCCGGAAUUACUGGGCGUAAAGAGCUCGUAGGCGGGACCGUAAGUCCGAGAGGAAAUCUCAAGGCUCAACUUUGGGGCUUUCUUGGAUACUGCGGUUCUUGAGGAUAUCAGAGGAUAGUAGAAUUCCCGGUGUAGCGGUGAAAUGCGUAGAUAUCGGGAGGAAUACCAGUGGCGAAGGCGACUGUCUGGGAUAUUCCUGACGCUGAGGAGCGAAAGCGUGGGGAGCAAACGGG
This 253-nucleotide ribosomal RNA is filed under the name uncultured bacterium. RNAcentral's name for it is "partial 16S ribosomal RNA". It matches the Rfam family "Bacterial small subunit ribosomal RNA", at positions 524 to 776 of the family's 1533-position model. The record is from RNAcentral.